UACGGGGGGGGCAAGCGUUGUUCGGAAUUACUGGGCGUAAAGGGCUCGUAGGCGGCCAACUAAGUCAGACGUGAAAUCCCUCGGCUUAACCGGGGAACUGCGUCUGAUACUGGAUGGCUUGAGUUCGGGAGAGGGAUGCGGAAUUCCAGGUGUAGCGGUGAAAUGCGUAGAUAUCGUAAGGAAGACCAGUGGCGAAGGCGGGUCUCUGGACAGUUCCUGACGCUGAGGCACGAAGGUCAGGGGAGCAAACGGG
RNAcentral lists this ribosomal RNA (253 nucleotides) under uncultured bacterium. RNAcentral's name for it is "partial 16S ribosomal RNA". It matches the Rfam family "Bacterial small subunit ribosomal RNA", at positions 524 to 776 of the family's 1533-position model. The record is from RNAcentral.